Molecule: long non-coding RNA, 205 nt
Filed under: Lathyrus oleraceus (garden pea)
Lineage: Eukaryota; Viridiplantae; Streptophyta; Magnoliopsida; Fabales; Fabaceae
Description: Pisum sativum (pea) long non-coding RNA (PSAT_LNC003720)
Source: RNAcentral
UUUUCACUCUCAAUAAUUUUUCUUUUUUUUAUUAAAAAAAUUAUAACUAAAGCAGUUUAUAAAAGAAAACUAGUUAUGAACCGGUUUUACACUGAAUUAUAAUUGGUUAAUUUAAAUGGUUCAGUUCAUUAACCAUUCAAGUGGUUUAGUUAUUUUAUGGUGCAAUGCAAUUCAGUUUAGACAUAUAAUUUGGUUAACCAUAUUU